RNAcentral lists this long non-coding RNA (1586 nucleotides) under Brassica napus (rape). Its description in RNAcentral is "long non-coding RNA (BNAP_LNC020894)". Lineage: Eukaryota; Viridiplantae; Streptophyta; Magnoliopsida; Brassicales; Brassicaceae. The record is from RNAcentral.
AGACUGUGCGGCUAAAGCCGCAGUAACUCGGUCGGUGAAGAAGACAAUAGCUGCUGUUUCCUGCUUCUCAGCAAGAACCUUUUUCUGCUCUGUCUCUAGUUUGGCUACAGACUCGUUGAUUAGGUCGGUAUAAUACUCAAUGCUGUCUACUUUUUUUCCGGCCAGACCAAGCAAGCCUGUUUUGUUCGUUGGUCGGUUACUAGUCGCUGCAAAUAUCGCUUCUGCACGUGCAAGCUUUUUCUUGUAACCUUCCAACCCUUCCCAUAUCUUAUUAACCUACAAAACAAGAAACAUAGGUAGAGCUGUCAAAUGGUCUGUCUGGCGCCCAUACUGUGGACAUUAUUGGCCGGUCCAUAAACCUGUACAAUGUACAGCCCAUUUCAAUAUAAUUUUAAAUCUUAUAUAUUAAAACAAAAUUCAUAACCUUGAUUCAUAUGUGAUUUUUUUUAAAAUAGACCUAAUGGACAUAUUCCUAGAAAAUCAUGUUACAUUUAAUAUAUAAUCUUAUCAUUUAAAUUUUGGACAUACCAGAAAUUUUUAUUGGUCUAUCAAUAAUUGGAUUUAAACAAUAGAUGAUCCAUUGAAUUUAUAUAUAGUAUAAAUUAAAUAUAUAUAAUUUAAUGUUAUAUACUAUACCUCUAUAUGCUAAAUAUUUAAAUAUUUGUCGAUGUUAAAUUUUAAAAUUAUAAAGAUUUUUUUUUAAAUAACAAAAAUCAUAUUAUCUAACAAUGAUCCAUCUUUAAUUCCUUAAACCAAUGAACACAAAUUUUAAACUAUAUAGGCUAUUUUAAAAAUUAAACAAAAACUAAAUGUUUAUUAUUUACUCGAUAAUAUAAAUCUAUGAAGCGAAAAUUUUAAUUUUUUAAAAACUUUAUAAAUUUGUGAAAUAUUACAAUAUAUUUGAAUAUGACAAUAAAACAAUAUACAUUCAAGACCGAGAAGUAAAAGUACUUCCCCGAGGCAGCUCUAACGGCGUGGCUCCGCGAAGGAAUCCCCUCGGAUUUAGAGAGGAACAUGAGGAACUUAGGCAACAUCGCCAAGAAGAUGAUGAGCGCAAUCUGAGGAAGGUAAGACUCAAGGAUGGUUCUUAUGAAAGUUAUCUUCACAACCGGCUUUAUAAAAGGAAUAGCCUUCUGGAGAUUCGCAAGAGUGGUGAUCGCAGAGACAAACGCGAUAGGUAUCAUGUAAAACAAAAUGGUUAUCGCGACAAUGAAGUAGAUCAAGUAUUGUCUGAUUAGUCUAGUGAAAAACUUGAUGUUGAGAUUCUCCCAGAGGAUCUGGCGAGGCUCAGGUGCUUCGGUCACUGUCCAUGUAUCGACCAUCUGGCUGUGUAGAGACUGUGCGGCUAAAGCCGCAGUAACUCGGUCGGUGAAGAAGACAAUAGCUGCUGUUUCCUGCUUCUCAGCAAGAACCUUUUUCUGCUCUGUCUCUAGUUUGGCUACAGACUCGUUGAUUAGGUCGGUAUAAUACUCAAUGCUGUCUACUUUUUUUCCGGCCAGACCAAGCAAGCCUGUUUUGUUCGUUGGUCGGUUACUAGUCGCUGCAAAUAUCGCUUCUGCACGUGCAAGCUUUUUCUUGUAACCUUC